AGUUCGGAUUGAAGGCUGAAAUUCGCCUUCAUGAAGCCGGAAUUGCUAGUAAUGGCAGGUCAGCAUACUGCCGUGAAUACGUUCCCGGGCCCUUGUACACACCGCCCGUCACACCAUGAGAGUUGGGAAUACCCGAAGCCUGUGAGCUAACGUUAAGAGGCAGCAGUCGAAGGUAGAAUCAAUGAUUGGGGUGAAGUCGUAACAAGGUACC
Molecule: ribosomal RNA, 211 nt
Filed under: uncultured bacterium
Lineage: Bacteria
Description: partial 16S ribosomal RNA
Rfam family: Bacterial small subunit ribosomal RNA
Source: RNAcentral